This 149-nucleotide ribosomal RNA is filed under the name Sclerotinia glacialis. RNAcentral's name for it is "ribosomal internal transcribed spacer 2". Lineage: Eukaryota; Fungi; Ascomycota; Leotiomycetes; Helotiales; Sclerotiniaceae. The record is from RNAcentral.
AACCCUCAAGCUCAGCUUGGUAUUGAGUCCAUGUCAGCAAUGGCAGGCUCUAAAAUCAGUGGCGGCGCCGCUGGGUCCUGAACGUAGUAAUAUCUCUCGUUACAGGUUCUCGGUGUGCUUCUGCCAAAACCCAAAUUUUCUAUGGUUGA